Molecule: long non-coding RNA, 167 nt
Organism: Melanotaenia boesemani (Boeseman's rainbowfish)
Lineage: Eukaryota; Metazoa; Chordata; Actinopteri; Atheriniformes; Melanotaeniidae
Exons: 3
Source: RefSeq, a predicted model, not a curated record
GGAGCACUCCCCUUCCAGUGAACUCUACAAGAGGAAAGAGAUCGAUGUGAAAUACAGCAUCUUUGUUUCAGUUGAAAGCUCCUUCAACUACUGCAGUUUCACUUUUGGAACAAAUAAUUUGCAGAAACCAGUCCAACAAUCAAUCAAGGUUACAAAUAGCAUCAGAG